This is a long non-coding RNA of Oncorhynchus keta (chum salmon), 1475 nucleotides long. RefSeq lists it as uncharacterized. The record is from RefSeq and is a predicted model, not a curated record. The transcript is spliced from 3 exons. NCBI's taxonomy places the organism in Eukaryota, Metazoa, Chordata, Actinopteri, Salmoniformes, Salmonidae.
CAACAUGGAAUAACCAGGACAACAGAGAGGUUAGGGAGAACAACAUGGAAUAACCAGGACAACAGAGAGGUUGGGGAGAACAACAUGGAAUAACCAGGACAACAGAGAGGUUGGGGAGAACAACAGAGAAUAACCAGGACAACAGAGAGGUUGGGGAGAACAACAGGGAAUAACCAGGACAACAGCAUUUGGGGAGAACAACAGAGAAUAACCAGGACAACAGAGAGGUUGGGAAGAACAACAGAGAAUAACCAGGACAACAGAGAGGUUGGGGAGAACAACAUGGAAUAACCAGGACAACAGAGAGGUUGGGGAGAACAACAUGGAAUAACCAGGACAACAGAGAGGUUGGGGAGAACAACAUGGAAUAACCAGGACAACAGAGAGGUUCGGGAGAACAACAGGGAAUAACCAGGACACCAGAGAGGUUGGGGAGAACAACAUGGAAUAACCAGGACAACAGAGAGGUUAGGGAGAACAACAUGGAAUAACCAGGACAACAGAGAGGUUGGGGAGAACAACAUGGAAUAACCAGGACAACAGAGAGGUUGGGGAGAACAACAGAGAAUAACCAGGACAACAGAGAGGUUGGGGAGAACAACAUGGAAUAACCAGGACAACAGAGAGGUUGGGGAGAACAACAGAGAAUAACCAGGACAACAGAGAGGUUGGGGAGAACAACAUGGAAUAACCAGGACAACAGAGAGGUUGGGGAGAACAACAUGGAAUAACCAGGACAACAGAGAGGUUGGGGAGAACAACAUGGAAUAACCAGGACAACAGAGAGGUUGGGGAGAACAACAGAGAAUAACCAGGACAACAGAGAGGUUGGGGAGAACAACAGGGAAUAACCAGGACAACAGCAUUUGGGGAGAACAACAGAGAAUAACCAGGACAACAGAGAGGUUGGGAAGAACAACAGAGAAUAACCAGGACAACAGAGAGGUUGGGGAGAACAACAUGGAAUAACCAGGACAACAGAGAGGUUGGGGAGAACAACAGAGAAUAACCAGGACAACAGAGAGGUUGGGGAGAACAACAUGGAAUAACCAGGACAACAGAGAGGUUGGGGAGAACAACAGAGAAUAACCAGGACAACAGAGAGGUUGGGGAGAACAACAUGGAAUAACCAGGACAACAGAGAGGUUGGGGAGAACAACAGAGAAUAACCAGGAAAACAGAGAGGUUGGGGAGAACAACAUGGAAUAACCAGGACAACAGAGAGGUUGCAGGGAGGGAUGGAGAGUGGAGGUAGAGAAAGAGAUAUUGUGGAAGGUUUGGAUGAAGGGGAGUGACUGAUGUGGUGAGGGUGGAGGAAAGGGGGGCAAUUAUGCUUCGGCGUCGCCACGUAGCUUCAGCCGCUAGCUCGAGUCUUAUGGGAUGGACGUGUGUUACACCAGGCUGUUUGAAUAGCUGAGAACAGGUGUCACCUCUCUGUUUAAUCAACCUGACUGGAGGCUGUGUGUCUGGGAGAG